CACCCACUCAGGAUAGACUCUGAGGAACCAAAGAAUUUGGGGAACCUAUAUACCACUCCAGAUGACCUGGGGGCUUAGGAUGAGAGGGACAGUUGAUUGACUUUACAAUGGUGGUCUUCGACCUGAAUUUUUGGAUCUUGGACUGGGACUAUGGCUUGGAGCUAUGAUUUGAGACUUUGACCUGGGAUUCUGGCUCUUGGACUGCUUCUGGUAAGACUGCUCCUGGAUCGUCUUUGGAGCUUUGGCUUGGGAGUGUCCCAUCCUGGGGUUCCAGGAGAGCUCAAGGAGCAUCUCACCUGCCCACAAUGAAGUCUGCAAGAGUGGAGAUCAAAAAGUGAGUAGUCAAAUUGAAAGGAAAAAAAAAAUUAUUAGAGUACUAAGGAAGUCUGCCAGGGCUGGUAGCAAACCUCCACUUCUUAAGGUACAGAUUAUGUUUCUAUAGCUUUUUGGGAUACCCUAGAGUAUACAGUCUAUCACUGACAUUCCAUAACAGAAAGGAAAUA
RNAcentral lists this long non-coding RNA (503 nucleotides) under Monodelphis domestica (gray short-tailed opossum). RNAcentral's name for it is "lncRNA (ENSMODG00000040869.1)". Lineage: Eukaryota; Metazoa; Chordata; Mammalia; Didelphimorphia; Didelphidae. The record is from RNAcentral.